This 28-nucleotide non-coding RNA is filed under the name Rattus norvegicus (Norway rat). The record is from RNAcentral. Lineage: Eukaryota; Metazoa; Chordata; Mammalia; Rodentia; Muridae.
UUCACACACUUUGUGCUAAGGUCCUGGA